GGGUCGGACCUCGGAGCAUUCAGCAUCCUCUGCCCCUCCGUGCGCUUUCCCCCAGCGAGUCCGCUCAGGCGGGGCUCCUGGGGAAGCCAGAGGGUCCUGCACCCCAACUUCGCAGUCAGACGUGACUCUCAGCCAGCCAGUAAAACAGAAGGUUUAUUAGACGACAGGAACAUGGUCUAAAACAGAGCUUGCAGGUGCAGAGAACGGGACCCCUCAGCUGGGUCCAUUCUGGGGGCAGUGAGCCAGACAACCACGUCUGCACUUCACUCCAUGUCCCAGCCAGCCCCAAACUGAAAACCCCCUCCAGCCCCUCCUCCUCUGGGCUUUGUUCCUUUCCCGGGCCAGGUGGUCACCUGAUUCCUUUGUUCUCCAACCCUUUAGCUCUCACCUUGCAGGGGGGAAGGGCCCAGGCCAUCAGUUGCCAGGAAACAGGGUGUCGGCCAUUCUCUGUGUCCAGACCCCUGCACACACCUGCCCUCUAGGGCUCUGCAAUGAUCAUACACCCUUACCCCACCACCUAGAUACUUAAGAACUGCAUAGGGGAAACUGAGGCACCCCCACAAUAUUCAGAGGAAACAUUAAGAACAGGCCCACUUCGUCACAUCUCUCCCCCUUCGAGAUCGAACUGAGCGGGGUCACUUUAGCCGGUGACCUGGGGAAGUUCGAAGCCACCAACGUUCCCAUGGAUGCCCCAGCAUCUCUCCCGUUCCUUGGUAGGAGUUACACCAGGCCCCUCCAGUUUCACGCCUCCCUUAAGGUCAGGGGUGGUCGAUAGCACUCGCAGGCCGCAUGUGGGAAGGUUUAUGCAGCCCAUGCCCUUUGGCCACCCCAAGAAUGUCUCCCCAUUGACCAUCACCUUCC
Molecule: non-coding RNA, 861 nt
Organism: Caretta caretta (loggerhead turtle)
Lineage: Eukaryota; Metazoa; Chordata; Testudines; Cheloniidae
Source: RefSeq, a predicted model, not a curated record